Long non-coding RNA from Tupaia belangeri chinensis (Chinese tree shrew), 402 nucleotides. RefSeq lists it as uncharacterized. Lineage: Eukaryota; Metazoa; Chordata; Mammalia; Scandentia; Tupaiidae. The record is from RefSeq and is a predicted model, not a curated record. The transcript has 3 exons.
ACCCUAGAGAAAAAAAAAUCCCCUUAAAAAGAAAAAUUAAGAAAGAAAGAAAGAGAAAAAGGAACAGCACAAAGGAGAGCGAGAACUGUUUCAGGGAGAUGACUGCAGCUGCUGCAGGGAGAAUGCAUUCCAGGGCUUCAAGAGCAGACGCAGGAAGCUGGAAUCAACAUUUUGACACUUUACAAUAAUGUUUCAGGAUGAAAUCAGUGUCUCCUUUUCGCCGAUAAAAACGCCAAGGGCUCAGUGAAGCUAAGACACUUGUCCCAAGACGCACGCACAGGGCAGUCCGGAUGCGGAUCCAGGCCCAGCCCUCCUGUGGUUCUGGCAGCAAGAAAGCCGCCAGGCAGGUGACCGUGAGGGCUCACUAAUAGUGACGGCGCGGAUGACGGGAACACUGACCAG